This 253-nucleotide ribosomal RNA is filed under the name uncultured bacterium. RNAcentral's name for it is "partial 16S ribosomal RNA". It matches the Rfam family "Bacterial small subunit ribosomal RNA", at positions 524 to 776 of the family's 1533-position model. The record is from RNAcentral.
UACGUAGGUGGCAAGCGUUGUCCGGAAUUAUUGGGCGUAAAGCGCGCGCAGGUGGUUUCUUAAGUCUGAUGUGAAAGCCCACGGCUCAACCGUGGAGGGUCAUUGGAAACUGGGGAACUUGAGUGCAGGAGAGAAGAGUGGAAUUCCACGUGUAGCGGCGAAAUGCGUAGAGAUGUGGAGGAACACCAGUGGCGAAGGCGACUCUUUGGCCUGUAACUGACACUGAGGCGCGAAAGCGUGGGGAGCAAACAGG